Molecule: RNase MRP RNA, 306 nt
Filed under: Drosophila busckii
Lineage: Eukaryota; Metazoa; Arthropoda; Insecta; Diptera; Drosophilidae
Description: RNase MRP
Rfam family: RNase MRP
About the family: RNase MRP is an enzymatically active ribonucleoprotein with two distinct roles in eukaryotes. In mitochondria it plays a direct role in the initiation of mitochondrial DNA replication.
Source: Rfam by way of RNAcentral
UGAGUUUUUCAUGCUUGUCUCUCGGGGUCACACACGAGCUCCUGGUAGCUCUUCAAUCGCACCCUGGGUAAAGUCCCCGGGCCUAGGAUAGAAAGUAUCAAGGCGUAAAAUACUUCGCCUAUAUUCUGCGGUAUCUCGCCUUGCGUACUUCCAACAAAGAGAGUUUUUCUCGAGUUGCUGCGCUCGGUUGACUGCGGAAAUGUGCCAGAGUAUUUCAAUAAGAUAUAGGCGAGUUGUUGGCAAAGGGGGCGUGUAAUAGCGCCCCCCUAAUCCACUACACAGAAUGGGGCUUACGUUGGGAAAUUC